GCUGCACUUUACAGGGACGUGAGAGGAGUUGGCAGUGAUCGUGUCCUUGUCUUAUUUACUCUGUGCUCCACUUAGCCAGAUUAUUCUUAUUAUUUAUCACAGUCUGCAUUUUGGACUUUCUGGUCAAUCAUUUGUAUCCUGAAUAAACACAGAGAUCCGGGAACAUGGCGGCGUCACUGAAGAGAGUCCAACACAACGAGGACCAGGAGCAGACGAUCGCUUCUGUGUCACUGAACAUGACAGCAUCACAGCUUACAGACCGACCUUCACACUGAACUCUACAAAUACAACAAGAUCCGUUCAGAUGUGACACGGUGAUCGGCUGUUCAUGCAAACAUCGGGGGAGCGACGCCAUCCCAUUGGUUCAGAAUGGAUCUCAGCCUGUGUUUCAGCUUCACAGUUUGGUUUCCAUUUGGGGAAUUAGUCACAUAAACCCAUUUUGUGUGGAUGAAGGCCUCCAGUGAUUCGAACUCCAGACGUGCCAGUUUGAUCUGGAUGUGUUUGGGAACGUCUGGGAUGAGGAAGGUCAGGAUGAACUUGAUGGCCAGCAGUCCGUGCUGAAAACACACAACCAGACACAUUGCAU
Platichthys flesus (European flounder) is the source of this 586-nucleotide long non-coding RNA. RefSeq lists it as uncharacterized. The transcript has 3 exons. The record is from RefSeq and is a predicted model, not a curated record. NCBI's taxonomy places the organism in Eukaryota, Metazoa, Chordata, Actinopteri, Pleuronectiformes, Pleuronectidae.